Molecule: long non-coding RNA, 343 nt
Organism: Hemiscyllium ocellatum (epaulette shark)
Lineage: Eukaryota; Metazoa; Chordata; Chondrichthyes; Orectolobiformes; Hemiscylliidae
Exons: 3
Source: RefSeq, a predicted model, not a curated record
UAGUGGGACAAAGACAGUGUUACUGAGUGUGGGAGAGGAAUGGCGCCGGCGGCUGAAGGAACAAGAACAGAAACCGCUGGAAAAGCUGAGCAGCCCUGGCUGCAUGUGUCAAGAGACUCCGAGGAAACGUUACGUGUCCAGUGAUUCUCUUUCAGAACAGAAACAGGUUUCGGAAACAUCCCGGAGAGGUCGCCAGGCCUGAGCGCCCGGGGAGAGGGGACAGUAAUAAGGUGAAAGGGAAUAAUGGACAAAGCACUGAAAACAACGCUGACUCUAAUUCAGCAAAGUAUUUGAAGAUCUGAAGACUGAAGUUUAAAAAUCAACAGAUGAAGGGCCUAUGCCU